Molecule: ribosomal RNA, 516 nt
Filed under: Fusarium culmorum
Lineage: Eukaryota; Fungi; Ascomycota; Sordariomycetes; Hypocreales; Nectriaceae
Description: eukaryotic LSU rRNA
Rfam family: 5.8S ribosomal RNA (bases 167-320)
Source: RNAcentral
CCAGCGGAGGGAUCAUUACCGAGUUUACAACUCCCAAACCCCUGUGAACAUACCUUAUGUUGCCUCGGCGGAUCAGCCCGCGCCCCGUAAAAAGGGACGGCCCGCCGCAGGAACCCUAAACUCUGUUUUUAGUGGAACUUCUGAGUAUAAAAAACAAAUAAAUCAAAACUUUCAACAACGGAUCUCUUGGUUCUGGCAUCGAUGAAGAACGCAGCAAAAUGCGAUAAGUAAUGUGAAUUGCAGAAUUCAGUGAAUCAUCGAAUCUUUGAACGCACAUUGCGCCCGCCAGUAUUCUGGCGGGCAUGCCUGUUCGAGCGUCAUUUCAACCCUCAAGCCCAGCUUGGUGUUGGGAGCUGCAGUCCUGCUGCACUCCCCAAAUACAUUGGCGGUCACGUCGAGCUUCCAUAGCGUAGUAAUUUACAUAUCGUUACUGGUAAUCGUCGCGGCCACGCCGUUAAACCCCAACUUCUGAAUGUUGACCUCGGAUCAGGUAGGAAUACCCGCUGAACUUAAGCA